RNAcentral lists this ribosomal RNA (468 nucleotides) under uncultured bacterium. Its description in RNAcentral is "partial 16S ribosomal RNA". It matches the Rfam family "Bacterial small subunit ribosomal RNA", at positions 28 to 507 of the family's 1533-position model. The record is from RNAcentral.
GACGAACGCUGGCGGCGUGCUUAACACAUGCAAGUCGAACGGAAAGGCCCUGCUUUUGUGGGGUUCUCGAGUGGCGAACGGGUGAGUAACACGUGAGUAACCUGCCCUUGACUUUGGGAUAACUUCAGGAAACUGGGGCUAAUACCGGAUAGGAGCUCCUGCUGCAUGGUGGGGGUUGGAAAGUUUCGGCGGUUGGGGAUGGACUCGCGGCUCAUCAGCUUGUUGGUGGGGUAGUGGCUUACCAAGGCUUUGACGGGUAGCCGGCCUGAGAGGGUGAACGGCCACAUUGGGACUGAGAUACGGCCCAGACUCCUACGGGAGGCAGCAGUGGGGAAUAUUGCACAAUGGGCGGAAGCCUGAUGCAGCAACGCCGCGUGCGGGAUGACGGCCUUCGGGUUGUAAACCGCUUUCGCCUGUGACGAAGCGUGAGUGACGGUAAUGGGUAAAGAAGCACCGGCUAACUACGUG